GGGAUAUUGCACAAUGGAGGAAACUCUGAUGCAGCAAUGCCGCGUGAGGGAAGACGGUCUUCGGAUUGUAAACCUAAGUAGACAGGAACGAUAAUGACGGUACCGGUAAAGUAAGCUCCGGCGAACUACGUGCCAGCAGCCGCGGUAAGACGUAGGGAGCGAGCGUUGUCCGGAUUUACUGGGUGUAAAGGGUGCGCAGGCGGGGCAGCAAGUCAGGCGUGAAAUACCGAGGCUUAACUUCGGAGCUGCGCUUGAAACUGUCGCUCUUGAGUGAAGUAGAGGCAAGCGGAAUUCCUAGUGUAGCGGUGAAAUGCGUAGAUAUUAGGAGGAACACCAGUGGCGAAGGCGGCUUGCUGGGCUUUAACUGACGCUGAAGCACGAAAGCAUGGGGAACAAACA
Molecule: ribosomal RNA, 399 nt
Filed under: uncultured bacterium
Lineage: Bacteria
Description: bacterial SSU rRNA
Rfam family: Bacterial small subunit ribosomal RNA
Source: RNAcentral